AUUGAACGCUGGCGGCAUGCCUUACACAUGCAAGUCGAACGGUAACAGGUCUUCGGAUGCUGACGAGUGGCGAACGGGUGAGUAAUACAUCGGAACGUGCCUAGUAGUGGGGGAUAACUACUCGAAAGAGUGGCUGAUACCGCAUGAGAUCUACGGAUGAAAGCAGGGGAUCGCACGACCUUGUGCUACUAGAGCGGCCGAUAGCAGAUUAGGUGGUUGGUGGGAUAAAAGCUUACCAAGCCGACGAUCUGUAGCUGGUCUGAGAGGACGAUCAGCCACACUGGGACUGAGACACGGCCCAGACUCCUACGGGAGGCAGCAGUGGGGAAUUUUGGACAAUGGGCGAAAGCCUGAUCCAGCAAUGCCGCGUGCAGGAUGAAGGCCUUCGGGUUGUAAACUGCUUUUGUACGGAACGAAAAGCCCUGGGUUAAUACCCUAGGGUCAUGACGGUACCGUAAGAAUAAGCACCGGCUAACUACGUGCCAGCCGCCGCAGUAA
This 498-nucleotide ribosomal RNA is filed under the name uncultured bacterium. Its description in RNAcentral is "partial 16S ribosomal RNA". It matches the Rfam family "Bacterial small subunit ribosomal RNA", at positions 30 to 523 of the family's 1533-position model. The record is from RNAcentral.